RNAcentral lists this ribosomal RNA (907 nucleotides) under Streptomyces gougerotii. RNAcentral's name for it is "bacterial SSU rRNA". It matches the Rfam family "Bacterial small subunit ribosomal RNA", at positions 1 to 889 of the family's 1533-position model. The record is from RNAcentral. Lineage: Bacteria; Bacillati; Actinomycetota; Actinomycetes; Kitasatosporales; Streptomycetaceae.
AACAAUUCCUUUUUUUUUUUUUUUUGGGGGGUUUUUUUAGAUUUUUUGGAACUGCUCAGGACGAACGCUGGCGGCGUGCUUAACACAUGCAAGUCGAACGAUGAACCGCUUUCGGGCGGGGAUUAGUGGCGAACGGGUGAGUAACACGUGGGCAAUCUGCCCUGCACUCUGGGACAAGCCCUGGAAACGGGGUCUAAUACCGGAUAUGACUAUCUAUCGCAUGGUGGAUGGUGUAAAGCUCCGGCGGUGCAGGAUGAGCCCGCGGCCUAUCAGCUUGUUGGUGAGGUAGUGGCUCACCAAGGCGACGACGGGUAGCCGGCCUGAGAGGGCGACCGGCCACACUGGGACUGAGACACGGCCCAGACUCCUACGGGAGGCAGCAGUGGGGAAUAUUGCACAAUGGGCGAAAGCCUGAUGCAGCGACGCCGCGUGAGGGAUGACGGCCUUCGGGUUGUAAACCUCUUUCAGCAGGGAAGAAGCGAAAGUGACGGUACCUGCAGAAGAAGCGCCGGCUAACUACGUGCCAGCAGCCGCGGUAAUACGUAGGGCGCAAGCGUUGUCCGGAAUUAUUGGGCGUAAAGAGCUCGUAGGCGGCUUGUCACGUCGGUUGUGAAAGCCCGGGGCUUAACCCCGGGUCUGCAGUCGAUACGGGCAGGCUAGAGUUCGGUAGGGGAGAUCGGAAUUCCUGGUGUAGCGGUGAAAUGCGCAGAUAUCAGGAGGAACACCGGUGGCGAAGGCGGAUCUCUGGGCCGAUACUGACGCUGAGGAGCGAAAGCGUGGGGAGCGAACAGGAUUAGAUACCCUGGUAGUCCACGCCGUAAACGGUGGGCACUAGGUGUGGGCAACAUUCCACGUUGUCCGUGCCGCAGCUAACGCAUUAAGUGCCCCGCCUGGAGACGCCGACCGU